Molecule: unclassified non-coding RNA, 354 nt
Filed under: soil metagenome
Description: partial contains 5.8S ribosomal RNA, internal transcribed spacer 2, and large subunit ribosomal RNA
Rfam family: 5.8S ribosomal RNA (bases 1-120)
Source: RNAcentral
GAUGAAGAACGCAGUGAAAUGCGAUACGUAAUGUGAAUUGCAGAAUUCAGUGAAUCAUCGAAUCUUUGAACGCACAUUGCGCCCCCUGGCAUUCCGGGGGGCAUGCCUGUCCGAGCGUCAUUUCUGCCCUCCAGCCCGGCUGGGUGUUGGGCGCUGUCCCCCCGGGGACACGCCCCAAAGGCAGUGGCGGCGCCGCGUCGGGUCCUCGAGCGUAUGGGGCUUUGUCACCCGCUCGGGACGGACUCGUCGGCGCUGGUCUUCCUCCAGGCGACCCUUCGGGGCUCGUCUUCCUUCGGUUGACCUCGGAUCAGGUAGGGUUACCCGCUGAACUUAAGCAUAUCAAUAAGCGGAGGA